RNAcentral lists this ribosomal RNA (301 nucleotides) under uncultured bacterium. Its description in RNAcentral is "partial 16S ribosomal RNA". It matches the Rfam family "Bacterial small subunit ribosomal RNA", at positions 509 to 808 of the family's 1533-position model. The record is from RNAcentral.
CAGCCGCCGCGGGAAUACGAAGGGGGCUAGCGUUGCUCGGAAUUACUGGGCGUAAAGGGCGCGUAGGCGGACAGUUAAGUUGGGGGUGAAAGCCCGGGGCUCAACCUCGGAAUGCCUUCAAUACUGGCUGUCUUGAGUAUGAGAGAGGUGUGUGGAACUCCGAGUGUAGAGGUGAAAUUCGUAGAUAUUCGGAAGAACACCAGUGACGAAGGCGACACACUGGCUCACUACUGGCGCUGAGGCGCGAAAGCGUGGGGAGCAAACAGGAUUAGAUACCCCGGUAGUCCCUGUCUCUUAUACA